AUUGAACGCUGGCGGCAGGCCUAACACAUGCAAGUCGAACGAGUGGCGGACGGGUGAGUAAUGUCUGGGAAACUGCCUGAUGGAGGGGGAUAACUACUGGAAACGGUAGCUAAUACCGCAUACCAUCAGAUGUGCCCAGAUGGGAUUAGCUUGUUGGUGGGGUAAAGGCUCCCCAGGGCGACGAUCCCUAGCUGGUCUGAGAGGAUGACCAGCGCCACGGUAAAUGAGACAGGGUCCAGACUCCUAAGGGAGGCAGAAGGGGGGAAUAUUGCACAAUGGGCGCAAGCCUGAUGCAGCCAUGCCGGGUGUAUGAAGAAGGCCUUCUGGUUGUAAAGUACUUUCAGCGGGGAGGCGUGACCCGCAGAAGAAGCACCGGCUAACUCCGUGCCAGCAGCCGCGUAAUUC
This 405-nucleotide ribosomal RNA is filed under the name uncultured bacterium. Its description in RNAcentral is "partial 16S ribosomal RNA". It matches the Rfam family "Bacterial small subunit ribosomal RNA", at positions 30 to 526 of the family's 1533-position model. The record is from RNAcentral.